AAGGAGUCUAACAUGUGUGCGAGUUUUUGGGUGGCAAACCCAUGAGCGUAAUGAAAGCGAAUGCAGGUGGGAUCCGCAAGGAGCACCAUCGACCGGCCCUGAUGUUCUCGGAUGGGUCUGCGUAAGAGCGUAUACGUUGGGACCCGAAAGAUGGUGAACUAUGCCUGAAUAGGGCGAAGCCAGAGGAAACUCUGGUGGAGGCUCGUAGCGGUGCUGACGUGCAAAUCGAUCUUCGAAUUUGGGUAUAGGGGCGAAAGACUAAUCGAACCAUCUAGUAGCUGGUUCCUUC
RNAcentral lists this unclassified non-coding RNA (289 nucleotides) under uncultured fungus. RNAcentral describes it as "partial contains 5.8S rRNA, ITS2 and 28S rRNA". It matches the Rfam family "Eukaryotic large subunit ribosomal RNA", at positions 668 to 961 of the family's 3401-position model. Lineage: Eukaryota; Fungi. The record is from RNAcentral.